RNAcentral lists this long non-coding RNA (349 nucleotides) under Brassica napus (rape). RNAcentral describes it as "long non-coding RNA (BNAP_LNC017616)". The record is from RNAcentral. Lineage: Eukaryota; Viridiplantae; Streptophyta; Magnoliopsida; Brassicales; Brassicaceae.
CGAUCGAUCUUUAUUUGUACAAAAACGCAUCGAUCGAUCUUUAUUUGGUUGUGUUUUGAGUAGUUUUUAAUUCGUAUUCAGCUUUGCCUUGCUAGAUAAACCAAAUAACUAAUAUCUGAGUACCAUUCUUUCAGCUAUCAACUGCAGGCUGUGAAACAUGGAAAAGCCACAAACAUUGAUCAACCAACAACAUCCAUGCUUUUAAGAAUGUUCAAAGGAUUCAAACUGACUGACCACUCAAUCUACUCAAAUUUUCUCAUCUUGGGGCUUGGUAUACACUAGGUUCGCUAGUACUACCAUUUUCAUAAUCAGUUUCCCCAUGAUGAUACCAAAUUUUGUAACUUCGUGU